Molecule: ribosomal RNA, 591 nt
Filed under: Trichoderma longibrachiatum
Lineage: Eukaryota; Fungi; Ascomycota; Sordariomycetes; Hypocreales; Hypocreaceae
Description: eukaryotic LSU rRNA
Rfam family: 5.8S ribosomal RNA (bases 223-376)
Source: RNAcentral
GAGUUUACAACUCCCAAACCCCAAUGUGAACGUUACCAAUCUGUUGCCUCGGCGGGAUUCUCUUGCCCCGGGCGCGUCGCAGCCCCGGAUCCCAUGGCGCCCGCCGGAGGACCAACUCCAAACUCUUUUUUUCUCUCCGUCGCGGCUCCCGUCGCGGCUCUGUUUUAUUUUUGCUCUGAGCCUUUCUCGGCGACCCUAGCGGGCGUCUCGAAAAUGAAUCAAAACUUUCAACAACGGAUCUCUUGGUUCUGGCAUCGAUGAAGAACGCAGCGAAAUGCGAUAAGUAAUGUGAAUUGCAGAAUUCAGUGAAUCAUCGAAUCUUUGAACGCACAUUGCGCCCGCCAGUAUUCUGGCGGGCAUGCCUGUCCGAGCGUCAUUUCAACCCUCGAACCCCUCCGGGGGGUCGGCGUUGGGGAUCGGCCCCUCACCGGGCCGCCCCCGAAAUACAGUGGCGGUCUCGCCGCAGCCUCUCCUGCGCAGUAGUUUGCACACUCGCACCGGGAGCGCGGCGCGGCCACAGCCGUAAAACACCCCAAACUUCUGAAAUGUUGACCUCGGAUCAGGUAGGAAUACCCGCUGAACUUAAGCAUA